Molecule: ribosomal RNA, 507 nt
Filed under: uncultured bacterium
Lineage: Bacteria
Description: partial 16S ribosomal RNA
Rfam family: Bacterial small subunit ribosomal RNA
Source: RNAcentral
GAUGAACGCUAGCUACAGGCUUAACACAUGCAAGUCGAGGGGAAACGACAUCGAAAGCUUGCUUUUGAUGGGCGUCGACCGGCGCACGGGUGAGUAACGCGUAUCCAACCUGCCCACCACUUGGGGAUAACCUUGCGAACGUAAGACUAAUACCCAAUGAUAUCUCUAGAAGACAUCUGAAAGAGAUAAAAGAUUUAUCGGUGAUGGAUGGGGAUGCGUCUGAUUAGCUUGUUGGCGGGGUAACGGCCCACCAAGGCAACGAUCAGUAGGGGUUCUGAGAGGAAGGUCCCCCACAUUGGAACUGAGACACGGUCCAAACUCCUACGGGAGGCAGCAGUGAGGAAUAUUGGUCAAUGGACGAGAGUCUGAACCAGCCAAGUAGCGUGCAGGAUGACGGCCCUAUGGGUUGUAAACUGCUUUUAUAAGGGAAUAAAGUGAGUCUCGUGAGGCUUUUUGCAUGUACCUUAUGAUAAGGACCGGCUAAUUCCGUGCCAGCCGCCGCCGUAA